This 166-nucleotide ribosomal RNA is filed under the name uncultured Actinomycetes bacterium. RNAcentral describes it as "uncultured actinobacterium partial 16S ribosomal RNA". It matches the Rfam family "Bacterial small subunit ribosomal RNA", at positions 1164 to 1329 of the family's 1533-position model. Lineage: Bacteria; Bacillati; Actinomycetota; Actinomycetes. The record is from RNAcentral.
CGGAGGAAGGUGGGGACGACGUCAAAUCAUCAUGCCCCUUAUGUCUUGGGCUUCACGCAUGCUACAAUGGCCGGUACAAAGGGUUGCGAUACUGUGAGGUGGAGCUAAUCCCAAAAAGCCGGUCUCAGUUCGGAUUGGGGUCUGCAACUCGACCCCAUGAAGUCGG